This 116-nucleotide small nuclear RNA is filed under the name Tropilaelaps mercedesae. RNAcentral describes it as "U5 spliceosomal RNA". It matches the Rfam family "U5 spliceosomal RNA". From Rfam's summary of the family: U5 RNA is a component of both types of known spliceosome. The precise function of this molecule is unknown, though it is known that the 5' loop is required for splice site selection and p220 binding, and that both the 3' stem-loop and the Sm site are important for Sm protein binding and cap methylation. Lineage: Eukaryota; Metazoa; Arthropoda; Arachnida; Mesostigmata; Laelapidae. The record is from Rfam by way of RNAcentral.
UCGCUCAGGUUUUCCAGCGUCGACGAAUAUGCGUUUCGCCUUUUACUAACGCAUCCGUGCUGGGGGACACUUACAAUGAGCCUAAAUGGCAAUUUUUGGAGCCUCUAUAAGGGGCU